AACCAAGCGCGGGUAAACGGCGGGAGUAA
Molecule: small nuclear RNA, 29 nt
Filed under: Arabidopsis thaliana (thale cress)
Lineage: Eukaryota; Viridiplantae; Streptophyta; Magnoliopsida; Brassicales; Brassicaceae
Description: snRNA_03878
Source: RNAcentral